GAAAGAACUACAUGAUCUAAGUCACGUACGACGGUUUCAAUUUCUUCUUUGGCACUAGUACGAAAGAAAAAAAUCGAACUAAUGAAAAAUCCUGAUAAAGAGAAAGCCAUGUGAGAAAUAUUACAUUGAAAACUUACCGUAAAAGAAAAU
This is a long non-coding RNA of Vespa crabro (European hornet), 150 nucleotides long. RefSeq lists it as uncharacterized. The record is from RefSeq and is a predicted model, not a curated record. Lineage: Eukaryota; Metazoa; Arthropoda; Insecta; Hymenoptera; Vespidae. The transcript is spliced from 2 exons.